This 194-nucleotide microRNA precursor is filed under the name Oryza brachyantha (malo sina). Its description in RNAcentral is "MIR812 microRNA precursor family". It matches the Rfam family "MIR812 microRNA precursor family". Lineage: Eukaryota; Viridiplantae; Streptophyta; Magnoliopsida; Poales; Poaceae. The record is from Rfam by way of RNAcentral.
AAUAAACCAAUUUUUCACUUUUUACCUAUAAUUUUUAACUAUUCAUCUUAUUUAAAUUUUUUUUGCGACUGAUAUUUUUGUUUUUAUUAGAUGAUAAAUCAUGAAUAAUACUUUACGUGUGACUAAUUUUUUCUAAUUUCCUAAAAAACUUUCAAAUAAAACGAGUAGUCAAAUAUUGGAUACGGAAACCGGAG